GAUCAUGGCUCAGGAUGAACGCUGGCGGCGUGCUUAACACAUGCAAGUCGAGCGAGAAAUGUCAAACAGAGAUUCGUCAAAGGGCGGACAUGGACAGCGGCGGACGGGUGAGUAACGCGUAGGUAACCUACCCUUAACUGCGGGAUAGCCUAGGGAAACCUGGAUUAAUACCACAUAAUGCGUUGGAGUCACAUGGCUUUAACGCCAAAGAUUUAUCGGUUAAGGAUGGACCUGCGUCUGAUUAGCCAGUUGGUGGGGUAACGGCCUACCAAAGCGACGAUCAGUAGCCGACCUGAGAGGGUGAUCGGCCACAUUGGAACUGAGACACGGUCCAAACUCCUACGGGAGGCAGCAGUGGGGAAUAUUGCACAAUGGGCGCAAAGCCUGAUGCAGCAACGCCGCGUGAGCGAAGAAGGCCUUCGGGUUGUAAAGCUCUGUCCUUAGGGACGAAGAAGUGACGGUACCUAAGGAGGAAGCCCCGGCUAACUACGUGCCAGCCGCCGC
Molecule: ribosomal RNA, 504 nt
Filed under: uncultured bacterium
Lineage: Bacteria
Description: bacterial SSU rRNA
Rfam family: Bacterial small subunit ribosomal RNA
Source: RNAcentral